This 891-nucleotide long non-coding RNA is filed under the name Taeniopygia guttata (zebra finch). RNAcentral's name for it is "lncRNA (ENSTGUG00000020124.1)". The record is from RNAcentral. Lineage: Eukaryota; Metazoa; Chordata; Aves; Passeriformes; Estrildidae.
GGGAAUCUGGGGCUCCCACUGGCAGCAGCCGGCCCGGGGAGUUUGGGGCUCCCGAGCGCGGCGAGGACGCGGUGCCCGGCGGCGGAGCAGCCCGGCGGGGACUCGCUGCAUCUUCCCGGGGCACAGCGGGCGGAUGGAGCGGGGCUGACCGAGGGAAGGGCUCGACAAAAGGAGCCGCGGUUUUACAUCCAGGUUACAGUUAAUACUGGAAGAGUUACCCUGAGCAAGUCCCUGUGUCACUUUAACAGUGGCCUAGGAGAUGCCUGGAAGAUAGUGGGUGCACUGUGACUCCUUCCUGGGAAGAUCUUGUUCCAGGGACAUGGGAUACCAGGAUGCCCUGAACAACAUCCAGUGACUGAUAUAUUUUACAGGAACUGCCUCGCAAUGGGUGUAAAACCUCAAUGCACAUUUCUCUGAAGGUCUUCUGUCCCUCCUGAAGACCUUCAUUUUGGUCAUCCUCAGUCUUUGAACUCCUGGCAUGUUAAAUUUUUGGACAUUAUGAAACACAUCAGGAGUGUCUGUUGAAAUGAAUGAAUGUUCCAGUGGGCAAUGCACACGUGAGAGAAAAUCCUUGAGCGCAGUGGCGGAACACUGCUCGGAGUAUCUGCCUGGAAUACCAAGCUCUGAGUUUGCACAGGCUCGAUGGCAGUUUCAGAGUAACAAAAGGAUAAAUGAUGCUGAUCUUUCUCCACACAAUGACACCUUUAAGAGAGAGUUACAGUCAAAACCACAUGCAUUCAGAUUGUGCAGCGUUGUGUCCGUGAACUUCCAGAGUUUGCAUUAAAAAGUGACAGAACAUCAGAGUGCCAGAAGCUUCUCAUAUUGUGGCCCUGAAGGUAAAAGCAAAACUAUCUUGGUCUGUGUUUGGGAACACUGUACAGAAUCUCUGCA